ACACCAUUCAUAAUGAUAUUAAAAUAUUUUUUUUAUUAAAAUCUCAUAAUCGUACAUGGUCAAAAGGCCUACAGAAAUAAUAUUCAAUAAAAAUAAAGGACAAAAGUGAUAGUCACUAAGAACAAUUAUAUUGGACCUGAAUACAAGCUUAAUAAUCCCUAACACUAGAAUUAAAAAUGAUCUUCUAUCUCCAACAUUAAGAAAUCUUUCGCCUUCUUCAAAUCUCCUAC
This 230-nucleotide long non-coding RNA is filed under the name Elaeis guineensis (African oil palm). RNAcentral describes it as "long non-coding RNA (EGUI_LNC071010)". The record is from RNAcentral. Lineage: Eukaryota; Viridiplantae; Streptophyta; Magnoliopsida; Arecales; Arecaceae.